Coffea eugenioides is the source of this 2902-nucleotide RNA transcript. It is a transcript of the gene named vacuolar fusion protein MON1 homolog, with no coding region annotated. NCBI's taxonomy places the organism in Eukaryota, Viridiplantae, Streptophyta, Magnoliopsida, Gentianales, Rubiaceae. The record is from RefSeq and is a predicted model, not a curated record. The transcript is spliced from 14 exons.
AACAGUUGGUCAAACCAUUACCACGACUGGUAGCUCAAUCAUCAACUUUCACCAGAUACUCCAUUUCCAUUACCACAACUGGUAGCUAGCUCAACUCACCUUGAUCGGUAAUUCCUCCCUCUCUCUUCCCAGGAUUUUCCUCUGAAUUAUAAUCCAAUAUCUUCGACACUCCCGAUAAUGCCCUCGCCUUCCAACUCGUCUUCCUAUUCUUCCUCCUCCGACGAGCAAAACCCUAAUUCUGCCCCUAACCCCAACCCUCCCUCAAUUGACCAGUCCCUCGACGCUAUCGAGAAUCAGCUAGCCUCAAUUUCAACGUUUCAACCGGGUUCCUUGCUGGAGCCCGAGUCGGAGUUCGGUGUCAACGAUGAUGAAAUUCGAGAGGAAUUGGUGAAUGGAUCGAUAAAUGAGAUCGAAGAGCUGCCGGGGAACUCAGAGGAGAAGUUGAAGGUGAGCUCGUCGAGAGUAUGGGCGAAUGUUUCGGAAAUGGAGGAAGGGGCGGCGCCGUCAAGUCCGAGUAGCAGUGGGUAUGCUGGUGAGAGAGGGAGUAGUGCCACCAGUGGAGUUGAGGAGGAUGGAAAUGAUGAUUAUAAUGACGACGAGAUUGUCGAAGUUCGGAGUAACGGUGAUUUUGACGGAGUUGCACAUUCUCCGGCUCCCUGGACUCCCGGGAAACGCCAUGGCGAUGAGGAUGAUGAUUCUAUUUCAUGGAGAAAAAGGAAGAAACAUUUCUUUAUUUUGAGUCACUCUGGAAAACCCAUUUAUUCGAGAUAUGGAGAUGAACACAAGCUAGCUGGAUUCUCUGCGACUCUACAGGCCAUUAUUUCCUUUGUGGAGAAUGGGGGAGAUCGUGUGAAAUUGGUAAGAGCAGGAAAGCACCAGGUUGUUUUUCUUGUUAAAGGACCAAUUUACCUCGUUUGUAUAAGCUGUACAGAAGAGCCAUACGAGUCACUGAGGGGGCAACUGGAGCUUCUCUAUGGUCAGAUGAUACUUAUUCUUACAAAGUCUGUAAAUAGAUGUUUCGAGAAGAAUCCAAAAUUUGAUAUGACGCCUUUGCUUGGAGGAACAGAUGUGGUCUUCUCUUCUCUCAUCCAUUCUUUCAAUUGGAACCCAGCUACUUUUCUCCAUGCAUACACUUGUCUUCCCCUUGCUUAUGCAACAAGACAAGCUGCUGGUGCAAUAUUACAAGAUGUGGCUGAUUCAGGUGUCCUGUUUGCAAUUUUAAUGUGUAGACACAAGGUUAUCUGUCUCGUUGGUGCACAAAAAGCAUCCCUUCAUCCUGAUGACAUGCUUCUUCUCUCUAAUUUUGUUGUAUCAUCUGAAUCAUUUAGGUAUGUGCAAUCACUGACUGAUCUUUUAUAUGUCAUUCUAUGGCGCUUCUGCUUUUGCCCUGACUAUAUUCUCAUAUCAGUAUUGUCUUUGUAUAGGACAUCUGAAUCUUUCUCACCAAUUUGCCUACCAAGAUAUAAUCCCAUGGCAUUUCUAUAUGCAUAUGUCCACUAUUUUGAUGUUGACACCUACUUGAUAUUGCUCACUACAAGUUCAGAUGCUUUUUACCACCUUAAGGAUUGCAGGAUUCGUAUUGAGACUGUACUUUUGAAGUCGAAUGUACUCGUCGAAGUUCAGAAAUCCAUGCUGGAAGGUCGCAUGCAUGUUGAGGAUUUGUCUACGAACCCUGCUUCUCAUCCUGGAAUUGCAUCCCCUCACUUAAGUCAAUCUAGGCUUGCAACUGAUUCCACAGAGAGGUUGACAGAGUUUAUUGGUGUUGGUGGUCCUGCUGGGCUAUGGCAUUUCAUGUACCGCAGUAUUUAUCUUAACCAGUAUGUAUCAUCUGAAUUUGCAUUACCAAUCAAUAGCUUGCGACAGCAGAAAAGGUUAUAUAGAGCUUAUCAGAAGCUUUAUGCAUCCAUGCAUGAAAAAGAUGUUGGACCACAUAAAACCCAGUUCAGAAGGGAUGAAAACUAUGCACUGCUUUGCUGGGUCACUCAAGAUUUUGAGCUAUAUGCGGCAUUUGAUCCCCUCGCAGACAAGGCUUUGGCUAUAAAAGCUUGCAACCGGGUUUGUCAAUGGGUGAAAGACGUAGAGAAUGAAAUUUUCCUGUUGGGAGCAAGCCCUUUUUCGUGGUGAUAUUUCUUUAUUUAUAUAGGUAUACAGGACGCACUCGAGUUCAUUACUGCCUCGUCCUAAUAAAAUCUAGCCUGAUUUUUUGAUGGGCUCUGUAUUAUAGGGCUUCCAUAUUUAUAUUUUUCACACGGCAUGAUAUGCCAAUUCUGUAGCAGAGUCAUUUUUGUAUUCAGAUUAUGAUCCUUUUGUAGCCCAUUAUUCAGUAUAUUAAGGGCGGCUAUAUGCGGUUUCACAAGACAGGCUUUUCGGUUUCAAGACUCGGGAAGCUUUUCGAUUCUGCCAAUCAAGAGUACGCAUCUCACUUCUUAGCUGAUUUCUUGAGACAGUCGACAUUCGGUUCGCAUGAUUGACAUUGAGAGUUGCCUUUCAAUUUGUCGAGAAAGAAUGAAAAGAUCCCUCUCAGAGAUCGUUUAGGAGCACUUUAUAUUCUGCUUUUUGGGGGGUCAGCUUAACCUUCUUCGGAGACUGGAAUGAAGUUGUUCCCCACUAAUAACGAAAAUGGUCCUCCAGAAUUAUGGUUUGAGUGAGGAGUCGGGCAUUGGUAAAAAACGCGGUUAAUAGUGAUGCUUUUGUACUUUGGACUUCUCUCCACGUUGAAUAUUCCACGGCUCUUUUAGGAAUGAUGGGACUCCUUUAGUUAUUGGAGUCAAAAGAGUAGCUAGUAGUGUUAUUCAAGACCUUUGAUUCUGUGAAAGUGGUCGAGAGAAUGAUUUGUGCAGCCGUUCCGUUCCGGCAAUAUAUAUAUAUAUAUGUAUACGUUUCUUUGGGGGAUUCAAGUUUA